Long non-coding RNA from Pecten maximus, 618 nucleotides. RefSeq lists it as uncharacterized. The record is from RefSeq and is a predicted model, not a curated record. NCBI's taxonomy places the organism in Eukaryota, Metazoa, Mollusca, Bivalvia, Pectinida, Pectinidae. The transcript has 2 exons.
CCAUGCAUGUGCAUGACGUAGGUUCCUACCCCUGAGUAUGUGAGGGACUAUCCACGUGACCAGUGCGACCGUGAACUACUGUUUCAUGUUCGCCUUGUUUAUGGCGUGAUUUUACUUGUGGAAGAAGCCCAUACGUCUGAGUGGGCUUCACAUGACGGGCGCGUGAUCGCCAGAUGCUGGAAUGGGCCAACUUGAAAUGACAACAGGUCUUUCGUGACGCAGAAUGAGGGACGAACAGAGGUUUAGAUCAACUACCGGAAGACAGUCAUAGGUAUCACGAACGAGAAGUGGUUGCUGUCGUUUAACUAGUCCUUUAUCCUCACCAGUAGAUGACUUGUAUUAUGAUCCGUUUGCGGAUGCACAAUUUCAUACUGUGGGGUUUCACCAUGAAACAUUGAUUGGUUAAUAUUGGACUGUGCGUAACUGCAUAUUUGAACUUUUCGUGACACCAAUUCUUCACAGGUGGUUGCUGGUGUGAAGACAUCCAUGUCGUAUGAAGAGACGGUAGUUGCAUUGGUAUAUCUAACAAUGUUGUGUAGUAGAGUGUGAUUGGUAGAGUGAAUGCGUUUGUAUAUUACCUGUUUUUUUAUGUAAAUAAACUUGUACUCAUAUUCAUUA